GAUCCUGGCUCAGGAUGAACGCUAGCGACAGGCUUAACACAUGCAAGUCGAGGGGCAGCGGGGAGUAGCAAUACUUCGCCGGCGACCGGCGCACGGGUGAGUAACACGUGUGCAACCAACCCCGUACCGGGAGAUAACCCGCGGAAACGUGGACUAACAUCCCAUAAUACUGGAGGAUCGCAUGAUCUUUCAUUUAAAAUUCCGGUGGUACGGGACGGGCACGCGCGACAUUAGGUAGUUGGCGGGGUAAGGGCCCACCAAGCCG
RNAcentral lists this ribosomal RNA (265 nucleotides) under uncultured bacterium. Its description in RNAcentral is "partial 16S ribosomal RNA". It matches the Rfam family "Bacterial small subunit ribosomal RNA", at positions 15 to 275 of the family's 1533-position model. The record is from RNAcentral.